GACGAACGCUGGCGACGUGCCUAAUACAUGCAAGUAGAACGCUGAAGGAGGAGCUUGCUUCUCUGGAUGAGUUGCGAACGGGUGAGUAACGCGUAGGUAACCUGCCUGGUAGCGGGGGAUAACUAUUGGAAACGAUAGCUAAUACCGCAUAAGAGUAGAUGUUGCAUGACAUUUGCUUAAAAGGUGCAAUUGCAUCACUACCAGAUGGACCUGCGUUGUAUUAGCUAGUUGGUGAGGUAACGGCUCACCAAGGCGACGAUACAUAGCCGACCUGAGAGGGUGAUCGGCCACACUGGGACUGAGACACGGCCCAGACUCCUACGGGAGGCAGCAGUAGGGAAUCUUCGGCAAUGGACGGAAGUCUGACCGAGCAACGCCGCGUGAGUGAAGAAGGUUUUCGGAUCGUAAAGCUCUGUUGUAAGAGAAGAACGAGUGUGAGAGUGGAAAGUUCACACUGUGACGGUAUCUUACCAGAAAGGGACGGCUAACUACGUG
RNAcentral lists this ribosomal RNA (495 nucleotides) under uncultured bacterium. RNAcentral's name for it is "partial 16S ribosomal RNA". It matches the Rfam family "Bacterial small subunit ribosomal RNA", at positions 28 to 507 of the family's 1533-position model. The record is from RNAcentral.